Molecule: ribosomal RNA, 467 nt
Filed under: uncultured bacterium
Lineage: Bacteria
Description: partial 16S ribosomal RNA
Rfam family: Bacterial small subunit ribosomal RNA
Source: RNAcentral
GACGAACGCUGGCGGCGUGCUUAACACAUGCAAGUCGAACGGAAAGGCUCCAGCUUGCUGGAGUACUCGAGUGGCGAACGGGUGAGUAACACGUGGGUAAUCUGCCCUGCACUCUGGGAUAAGCCUGGGAAACUGGGUCUAAUACUGGAUAUGACCUUUCUCCUUAUGGGGUUUGGUGGAAAGUUUUUCGGUGUAGGAUGAGCCCGCGGCCUAUCAGCUUGUUGGUGGGGUGAUGGCCUACCAAGGCGACGACGGGUAGCCGGCCUGAGAGGGUGAUCGGCCACAUUGGGACUGAGAUACGGCCCAGACUCCUACGGGAGGCAGCAGUGGGGAAUAUUGCACAAUGGGCGGAAGCCUGAUGCAGCGACGCCGCGUGAGGGAUGACGGCCUUCGGGUUGUAAACCUCUUUCAGCGGGGACGAAGCGUAAGUGACGGUACCUGCAGAAGAAGCACCGGCUAACUAUGUG